This 460-nucleotide ribosomal RNA is filed under the name uncultured bacterium. RNAcentral's name for it is "partial 16S ribosomal RNA". It matches the Rfam family "Bacterial small subunit ribosomal RNA", at positions 338 to 795 of the family's 1533-position model. The record is from RNAcentral.
CCUACGGUGUGCAGCAGUGAGGAAUAUUGGUCAAUGGGCGCGAGCCUGAACCAGCCAAGUAGCGUGAAGGAUGACUGCCCUACGGGUUGUAAACUUCUUUUAUAAAGGAAUAAAGUGAGGCACGUGUGCCUUUUUGUCUGUACUUUAUGAAUACGGAUCGGCUAACUCCGUGCCAGCAGCCGCUGUAAUACGUAGGAUCCGAGCGUUAUCCGGAUUUAUUGGGUUUAAAGGGAGCGUAGAUGGGUUGUUAAGUCAGUUGUGAAAGUGUGCGGCUCAACCGUAAAAUUGCAAUUUAUACUGGCAGUCUUGAGUACAGUUGAGGUAGGCGGAAUUCGUGGUGUAGCGGUGAAAUGCUUAGAUAUCACGAAGAACUCCGAUUGCGAAGGCAGCUUACUAAACUGCCACUGACAUUGAUGCUCGAAAGUGUGGGUAUCAAACAGGAUUAGAUACCCCGGUAGUC